GGGCGAUUAACUCAGCGGGAGAGUGCUACCUUCACACGGUAGAAGCCACUGGUUCAAACCCAGUAUCGCCCACCA
Molecule: transfer RNA, 75 nt
Filed under: Pseudomonadota bacterium
Lineage: Bacteria; Pseudomonadati; Pseudomonadota
Also listed under: 1 other name
Description: Proteobacteria bacterium tRNA-Val
Rfam family: tRNA
About the family: Transfer RNA (tRNA) molecules are approximately 80 nucleotides in length. Their secondary structure includes four short double-helical elements and three loops (D, anti-codon, and T loops).
Source: RNAcentral